This 265-nucleotide unclassified non-coding RNA is filed under the name Hevea brasiliensis (rubber tree). Lineage: Eukaryota; Viridiplantae; Streptophyta; Magnoliopsida; Malpighiales; Euphorbiaceae. The record is from RNAcentral.
GGAAAUAAUACAUCCUAUUUUAUAGAGAAAUAUUUCUUCUAGUCUAAUUAAGAAAAAGUCUCUUCAAAUCCUAUUAGAAUUAUGAGUCACUUAUAUAAUGAAAAAAUUCCAAAAAUGAUUAAGAAACGAAUGCUAAAGCAUAUCAAAUAUCAACCCUGUUUCUUGAAGAUAGGAUUAAAAAGAAAAUGCAGGUAUUUGUUAUCAAUUAAAUAUUUCACAAAUUAAACAAACAAGUGGCCAGAAAUCUUUCGUCCACCAGUGUCUU